GUGUGGCUCGUUAGCCAUGGUAGGCAAUUCACCUAGGAGAGCAAACUCCGAACAACAAACCCGGGCAGGUGUGGCUCGUUAGCCAUGGUAGGCAAUUCACCUAGGAGAGCAAACUCCGAACAACAAACCCGGGCAGGUGUGGCUCGUUAGCCGUGGUAGGCAAUUCACCUAGGAGAGCAAACUCCGAACAACAAACCCGGGCAGGUGGAGCUCGUUAGCCGUGGUAGGCAAUUCACCUAGGAGAGCAAACUCCGAACAACAAACCCGGGCAGGUGUGGCUCGUCAGCCGUGGCAGGCAGUUCAUCUAGGAGAGGGACAACUCCGAACAACAAACCCGGGCAGGUGGAGCUCGUCAGCCGUGGCAGGCAGUUCAUCUAGGAGAAGGACAACUCCGAACAAGAAACACGGGCAGGUGGAGCUCGUCAGCCGUGGCAGGCAGUUCAUCUAGGAGAGGGACAACUCCGAACAAGAAACACGGGCAGGUGGAGCUCGUCAGCCGUGGCAGGCAGUUCAUCUAGGAGAAGGACAACUCCGAACAAGAAACACGGGCAGGUGGAGCUCGUCAGCCGUGGCAGGCAGUUCAUCUAGGAGAGGGACAACUCCGAACAAGAAACACGGGCAGGUGGAGCUCGUCAGCCGUGGCAAGCAGUUCAUCUAGGAGAAGGACAACUCCGAACAAGAAACACGGGCAGGUGGAGCUCGUCAGCCGUGGCAGGCAGUCUGCCUAGGAGAGCAAACUCCGAACAAUAAACCCGGGCAGGUGGAGCUCGUUAGAUGUCGUAGACAUCCACGUGAUGGGAACACCAAAAUGAAAAUGAAAAGGAAAAGGAACACCAGAAUAAAGAAAAUGUAGAAAUGAGACAUCAAGAAAACAAAAUAAGAAACAGAUCAUCCACCUUUCGGCCCUAACUAACAUCACCAAAAUUAUGGAUGGGUCUCUUCUGGGGAGAAAGAGGCUCAUCCAGACCAAAGAACAUCAAUCAGGGAUGACAUAGAAAAGAUAAAAGAACAACAUGAAGAAAAGAAGAAAAAAACAUCAUCCACCUUUCGGCCCCAAGUAACAUCACAAAAUUAUGGGUGGGUCUUUUCUGGGGAGAAAAAGGCUCAUUCAGACCAAAGAACAUCAGAACGGAUGAUACAGAAAAGAUAAAAGACCAACAUCAGGAAAGAAGAAAAUACAUCAUCCACC
Molecule: long non-coding RNA, 1189 nt
Organism: Eriocheir sinensis (Chinese mitten crab)
Lineage: Eukaryota; Metazoa; Arthropoda; Malacostraca; Decapoda; Varunidae
Exons: 6
Source: RefSeq, a predicted model, not a curated record